This 377-nucleotide long non-coding RNA is filed under the name Salvia miltiorrhiza (redroot sage). RNAcentral's name for it is "long non-coding RNA (SMIL_LNC003724)". The record is from RNAcentral. Lineage: Eukaryota; Viridiplantae; Streptophyta; Magnoliopsida; Lamiales; Lamiaceae.
AAGCAGACUGUGUCAGGAUUCUGUGCAGGUGUACUUGUCUUUUGAACUUCUAAUUUGAUACCAAUUGUUGCCCCUGAGAGUCUGUACAGGUGUAUGAGGGGUGCACCAGUUAUAAUUUUUUUUUUUUUGCUUUUCAGAGUGUAGUGUUCUAAAUAGGUUCAACUGAUAAUGAAUUAGCUAGUUUGAUGCAGAUCAGUUUAAUCAAUACUAAAUUGACUGAUAUCCAGCCUAUUCUAGUUCUGAUUACAGUUAGCUAUCCUACUGACUGUUUGAAAGCUGAACUGUUGGACAAAUAACUGACUUGUGCGGAAUGUGGUGGCUGGUUACUCACUUUAUAAAAUCUUUCUAAGUCAGCUUUUCAGUUUAGUCAGUAUUCA